CACGUGUACCGUCGCAGUUUAUUGGCUCGGUAUAUUAGCUGGAGCGAAAGGCAUGAAGGUUAGAUCGCGUCGGAAGGAGCAGAGCUGGCAGGUCAGUUAAAGCGUAGUAUCAUUUAAUGUCUGUAAAUAUGUACGAUGCUCACUUAAUGUACUGAACUGUAGGAGCCCAUUAUUGUGAGCCGGAAAGGGAGAUGGAAAAGAUCCGGUAGUAUGACACAAAACUGCGGAACUGGCCAGAUGGAUGGUGAGCUAUGAGACCAGGCCUAGAGCCAAGGAAGGAAUUCACCUGUUGGUGAUUAAGGACUGUUUACUUCUCCUACCCAGCCGGUAGGAGAAUCCUACAAAGGACUCUGCUCCUUCUUUGAUUGGACUUUCAUUUACCCAAGACGUGAAUCAAGCUCCGGAUACUCGCCUUGUUGGUGAGCCUGAUUGAUCCCCAUUCGGGGUGGAUGGACUAAGGGGGGGUGUGAGAUGAACUUUAACUUUGGGACCGAUUAAUUAAUUAGUUUUUUUUUUUAAUUGUUUAAAUCACUCAAGUUUUAUUACAAAAUAAUUACAAAGUAAAAAAAAAAA
Xiphophorus hellerii (green swordtail) is the source of this 573-nucleotide long non-coding RNA. RefSeq lists it as uncharacterized. The transcript has 2 exons. Lineage: Eukaryota; Metazoa; Chordata; Actinopteri; Cyprinodontiformes; Poeciliidae. The record is from RefSeq and is a predicted model, not a curated record.